GGUUAUGGCGGGGGGAGCCUGGUGCAGCGACGCCGCGUGCGGGAUGACGGCCUUCGGGUUGUAAACCGCUUUCAGUACAGAAGAAGCCCUUUUUGGGUGACGGUAUGUGCAGAAGAAGCGCCGGCUAACUACGUGCCAGCAGCCGCGGUAAUACGUAGGGCGCGAGCGUUAUCCGGAAUUAUUGGGCGUAAAGAGCUUGUAGGCGGUUUGCCGCGUCUGCUGUGAAAGCCCGGGGCUUAACUCCGGGUGUGCAGUGGGUACGGGCAGGCUAGAGUGCAGUAGGGGAGACUGGAAUUCCUGGUGUAGCGGUGAAAUGCGCAGAUAUCAGGAGGAACACCGAUGGCGAAGGCAGGUCUCUGGGCUGUUACUGACGCUGAGAAGCGAAAGCAUGGGUAGCGAACAGGAUUAGAUACCCUGGUAGUCCAUGCCGUAAACGUUGGGCACUAGGUGUGGGGGACAUUCCACGUUUUCCGCGCCGUAGCUAACGCAUUAAGUGCCCCGCCUGGGGAGUACGGCCGCAAGGCUAAAACUCAAAGGAAUUGACGGGG
RNAcentral lists this ribosomal RNA (548 nucleotides) under Micrococcus sp. A2. RNAcentral's name for it is "bacterial SSU rRNA". It matches the Rfam family "Bacterial small subunit ribosomal RNA", at positions 359 to 918 of the family's 1533-position model. Lineage: Bacteria; Bacillati; Actinomycetota; Actinomycetes; Micrococcales; Micrococcaceae. The record is from RNAcentral.